Long non-coding RNA from Limulus polyphemus (Atlantic horseshoe crab), 331 nucleotides. RefSeq lists it as uncharacterized. The transcript has 3 exons. NCBI's taxonomy places the organism in Eukaryota, Metazoa, Arthropoda, Merostomata, Xiphosura, Limulidae. The record is from RefSeq and is a predicted model, not a curated record.
UUUGGUCUUAAGAGUUUAAGAGCACGUGAUGUAGAGGACUCACCCGCUUUUUGGAAACUUUUAUGCUAAGUGCCCAAAGUUAUCUAUCUGCUUUUAAGAACUGGUCACCUGUGGUUGUUCUCUUCAAGGCUGGCUGUUGGGCAGACUUCCUGUAGCAAAAACAUCCUCAUAUUCUCUGGUGGAUUUAAAUGGAUGGAAAUAUACAAAAUACACUGGCGGUCAUGCAUUCACACAGGCUGCGCUAUUUUUUUGUGGAUAUCUAGCUGGAACUUGCCACAUACUAAAUAAAAUAAUGAAAAUUCCUUUGCAUGAUGUGAAAAGAAAGAAAAGG